RNAcentral lists this long non-coding RNA (543 nucleotides) under Gallus gallus (chicken). Lineage: Eukaryota; Metazoa; Chordata; Aves; Galliformes; Phasianidae. The record is from RNAcentral.
CCCGUUUCGAUUUUUUCAUGAGACUAUCAAUGUAGAUUUUAAAGUACUCAUUCUCACUCAGUUGUGCAAGUUUUUGGUUGUCAUCGUAUUUGCUCAGUAUAAGUCGCAAAUGUUGGUAGGUGUCUGGUAAAAUGUCAAGAAUGUAAGGCGGGCUGUUUUUCAGUUGAAGCUUUGGGUUUUGGCACAGUCUUACCACUUUGUCCAUGAGCUUCCAGGUCUUCUCUACAGUCCUCCGGUCCGCAGCCGCCUGCUUCGGGGGGCCCACAGCAUCCUGAAUGGCGUCGAUGAAGCCCAGGAUCCGUCCUUUGCGUGGGUUCCGGCCGUUCUGGGAGUUGGCCAUCUGGGAGCCGGGAGGUCCGUAUGUGGCACAGCUCACAGCCCCAGGCAGGCUGUGGUCUCCGCGCUCUCCGGCAAAGUGAGGCUGGCGAAGCUCCGGCUGCCCCGCUCCCUCCCCCGCCCCGCGGCGCUCUGGCGGCCGCUCCUCUCCUCGCAACAUGCCCGCCCCGAGGCCACGGCUCGGCCCCACGCAUGCGCGCCGCGAGG